UUGAGUGGCGAUAGCUUGUAUCGCACAUGUAAGGACGGCAGCCUUUCUCAUGGGAAGAACAUAUGAGGAGUACUGCAUUGUGAGGAUGUUCCAUACAAACAGGACACCUGGCCUCUUCCCAUUCCUUUAGGUUUUCCUCAGUUUCUGAAGGGAUUUUGGGUGAAGAUAGCCUGCUACAACUGGAGCUGCAAGUGUACGGAGACGCCUUGCACCUAUCAAAAGAUACCGAGCGAUCUCUUCUAUCCUUUGGCAUUCUGAGA
Molecule: unclassified non-coding RNA, 260 nt
Filed under: Hevea brasiliensis (rubber tree)
Lineage: Eukaryota; Viridiplantae; Streptophyta; Magnoliopsida; Malpighiales; Euphorbiaceae
Source: RNAcentral